ACUGCUCUGAGACUACCGACAGCCCUGUUCUGAUUGGGAACUGUGUUAUCUGUAUGUUGUCCCUGUUCUACCACUUAAUUUGAAGGUGUCUUGCAAGGUGCAAACUGAACUCCCUGGAAACGUGAAGCCUGCACAUACAAACAUACAAGAGAGUUUUCCAGAAGCCGUGUUUUGUUUGUUGCAUCAAUCUGAGAGCACAGAUGUGUGCUUCUGAAUCCUUUUAGUUUUCUAAAAAUUUUCAAGCUUUAGAAUAUAGAUUGACACAUAGAUUUCCAGAGAUUGUCUCAGUACUUCUGUUGUACCUUUAUGAGGUUUCUCUGGUUUUACUUGUUAUGAGACUCAUAACCUCAUUGCCAACCAAUCGAUCAUUAUUUUCAAGCCUUAAA
This 386-nucleotide long non-coding RNA is filed under the name Mustela putorius furo (domestic ferret). RNAcentral's name for it is "lncRNA (ENSMPUG00000030700.1)". The record is from RNAcentral. Lineage: Eukaryota; Metazoa; Chordata; Mammalia; Carnivora; Mustelidae.